RNAcentral lists this ribosomal RNA (799 nucleotides) under uncultured bacterium. RNAcentral describes it as "bacterial SSU rRNA". It matches the Rfam family "Bacterial small subunit ribosomal RNA", at positions 1 to 741 of the family's 1533-position model. The record is from RNAcentral.
GACGGGGGUCACGGUCGCUGCUCCGGCGCCAUGGCGGCGCGGGAUUCGAUUAGAGUUUGAUCCUGGUGGCCCCUGGCGGCGGGCCUAACACAUGCAAGUCGAGAGGAAGCCCCUGCUUGCAGGGGCGAGUAAAGUGGCGCACGGGUGAGUAACGCGUGGUUAAUCUACCCUCGGGUUUGGGAUAACGUCCCGAAAGGGGCGCUAAUACCGGAUAAGACCACGGUGUCCACGGGCACUGGGGUAAAAGUGGGCCUCUACAUGUAAGCUCAUGCCUGAGGAUGAGACCGCGUCCCAUUAGCUUGUUGGUGAGGUAACGGCUCACCAAGGCCGCGAUGGGUAGCUGAUCUGAGAGGAUGAUCAGCCACACUGGGACUGGAACACGGCCCAGACUCUUACGGGAGGCAGCAGUGAGGAAUCUUGCGCAAUGGGGGAAACCCUGACGCAGCCACGCCGCGUGGGUGAAGAAGGCCUUCGGGUUGUAAAGCCCUGUCAGGUGGGAAGAACCGCAGUCUGGCCAAUACCUGGACUGCUUGACGGUACCACCAAAGGAAGCACCGGCUAACUCCGUGCCAGCAGCCGCGGUAAUACGGAGGGUGCAAGCGUUGUUCGGAAUUACUGGGCGUAAAGCGCGUGUAGGCGGACCGGUAAGUUGGGAGUGAAAGCCCUGGGCUCACCCAGGAAGUGCUUCCAAUACUGCCGGCCUUGAGUUCCGGAGAGGUGGUGGAAUUCCCGGUGUAGAGGUGAAUUCGUAGAUAUCGGGAGGAACACCAGUGGCCGAAGCGACCACCUUGACGAGACU